Molecule: long non-coding RNA, 614 nt
Organism: Chlorocebus sabaeus (green monkey)
Lineage: Eukaryota; Metazoa; Chordata; Mammalia; Primates; Cercopithecidae
Source: RefSeq, a predicted model, not a curated record
AGGGGGCGGAGCGCGCGGCUCGCUGCCUCUCUCCUCCCCCGGGAGGCUCAGGGGCCCCUAUCUCGGGCCGCCGCGCCUAGGCCCGUGAGCAGCCUGUGGUUGGGGCAUGGCGGCACAGCCCACCGGCGUGCCCGCGAGACAGCUGUGCUCCUGAUUCUCAGGCCUCGGGACCCAGACCAGGAUUUCCAUCAGCUCCCCUGGCUCGCAGGCCUUCUGACUUCUGACUCACCAUGGGUUCUCCUGGAUCCAGCUUGAUGAUGGCAGAUCGUGGGACUUCUUGGCCUCCGUAAUCACAUGAAACAAUGCCCACAAUUGCCCGUGCCUGGAGAACAUAGUGGAACUCCAUCUCUACAAAAAAAUUAAAAAAUUAGUUGGGCAUGGUAGUGAGUGCCUGUGGUCCCAGCUACUCAGGAGACAGAGGUGGGAGGACUGCUUGAACCCAGGAGAUCAAGGGUGCAGUGUGCCAUGACUGAGUCACGGAACUCCAACCUGGGCAAGAGAAUGAGAUCCUGCCUGAAAAACAAAAACAAAAAAGACAAAAUUUUGAGUCCAUAAAAUAUAUGAUUGAUAAAUGCAACUGCAUCAAAAUUAAAGCUUUUGUAUGGUGAAAAACA